AUGAGUCAUCCCUGACCCCUUGAGGGUCCUAAAGGGCCGUUGGAGACCACAACGUUGAUAGGUGGGGUGUGUAAGCGUAGUGAUACGUUGAGCUAACCCAUACUAAUUACCCGUGAGGCUUAACCAU
This 127-nucleotide ribosomal RNA is filed under the name Aeromonas sp. PrichA-15. RNAcentral describes it as "partial 23S ribosomal RNA". It matches the Rfam family "Bacterial large subunit ribosomal RNA", at positions 2804 to 2925 of the family's 2925-position model. The record is from RNAcentral. Lineage: Bacteria; Pseudomonadati; Pseudomonadota; Gammaproteobacteria; Aeromonadales; Aeromonadaceae.